This 366-nucleotide ribosomal RNA is filed under the name uncultured Cellulomonas sp. Its description in RNAcentral is "bacterial SSU rRNA". It matches the Rfam family "Bacterial small subunit ribosomal RNA", at positions 1016 to 1382 of the family's 1533-position model. The record is from RNAcentral. Lineage: Bacteria; Bacillati; Actinomycetota; Actinomycetes; Micrococcales; Cellulomonadaceae.
CCCCUUGUGGUCGGUGGACAGGUGGUGCAUGGUUGUCGUCAGCUCGUGUCGUGAGAUGUUGGGUUAAGUCCCGCAACGAGCGCAACCCUCGUCCUAUGUUGCCAGCGGGUCAUGCCGGGGACUCAUGGGAGACUGCCGGGGUCAACUCGGAGGAAGGUGGGAUGACGUCAAAUCAUCAUGCCCCUUAUGUCUUGGGCUUCACGCAUGCUACAAUGGCCGGUACAAAGGGCUGCGAUACCGCGAGGUGGAGCGAAUCCCAGAAAGCCGGUCUCAGUUCGGAUUGGGGUCUGCAACUCGACCCCAUGAAGUCGGAGUCGCUAGUAAUCGCAGAUCAGCAACGCUGCGGUGAAUACGUUCCCGGGCCUU